This 517-nucleotide ribosomal RNA is filed under the name uncultured Streptomyces sp. Its description in RNAcentral is "bacterial SSU rRNA". It matches the Rfam family "Bacterial small subunit ribosomal RNA", at positions 144 to 675 of the family's 1533-position model. The record is from RNAcentral. Lineage: Bacteria; Bacillati; Actinomycetota; Actinomycetes; Kitasatosporales; Streptomycetaceae.
CAAGCCCUGGAAACGGGGUCUAAUACCGGAUAACACUCUGUCCCGCAUGGGACGGGGUUAAAAGCUCCGGCGGUGAGGGAUGAGCCCGCGGCCUAUCAGCUUGUUGGUGGGGUAAUGGCCUACCAAGGCGACGACGGGUAGCCGGCCUGAGAGGGCGACCGGCCACACUGGGACUGAGACACGGCCCAGACUCCUACGGGAGGCAGCAGUGGGGAAUAUUGCACAAUGGGCGAAAGCCUGAUGCAGCGACGCCGCGUGAGGGAUGACGGCCUUCGGGUUGUAAACCUCUUUCAGCAGGGAAGAAGCGAAAGUGACGGUACCUGCAGAAGAAGCGCCGGCUAACUACGUGCCAGCAGCCGCGGUAAUACGUAGGGCGCAAGCGUUGUCCGGAAUUAUUGGGCGUAAAGAGCUCGUAGGCGGCUUGUCACGUCGGAUGUGAAAGCCCGGGGCUUAACCCCGGGUCUGCAUUCGAUACGGGCUAGCUAGAGUGUGGUAGGGGAGAUCGGAAUUCCUGGUG